Molecule: long non-coding RNA, 5815 nt
Filed under: Gallus gallus (chicken)
Lineage: Eukaryota; Metazoa; Chordata; Aves; Galliformes; Phasianidae
Description: lncRNA (ENSGALG00010015622.1)
Source: RNAcentral
ACAUCUGUGGGGUGUGGGAGGGAAAUGCACCGCCCAAAAUGAGAGCAAACACUGGGAUGAGGGCAGCAUGAAGGGAGAGACAGAACUCAGUGAGAAGCAGCCUGUCUCGCAGGCUUGCCAGAACUCCAAUGACAUGAAUGUGUGUGAAGAUUUUUUAUGCCAGCCACCUGUGUGACAGAAAUACGGUAGUAAUGUUUUCAUCCCACAGAUAAGCUACAUCGGUGUCUCCAGAGAGGGAACCGUAUGGUGGGUCUGGUACAAAGGUAAUCCUAUAAAACCCUGCGUGCAAGACAUGAAAUGCUGUUCCCGGAGCUGAUUUUCUCCCAGAGAGCCCUUCAAGCCACCAUCAUUCAGUACCACAUAACAGAGCCAUGAGGCAGACAGCCUCAGGACCAGUGGCAGGGCAGGCAGGGGGCAGCCUGUGGGGCAGACUCACUGCAAGGACUGGUUGGGACCUCUCCCCAGCCUGCAGCCCACCUCGGGGCCUGGCUGCAAGGGCAAUGGAUAAGGCACUAAGAAAUCAUUUGGAAAAAGAAGAUGUAUCUCCACUUUACCACUGAAUUGCUGCAGUCAGCAGAAUGUUAUCACUCUGCUCCGGGUCCCUUACAUAAGAAGUAGAGAUGAAGGCAAACUGGCCACUUAAGUAAAGUUACUAUUUGAGACUUAUUCAAUAAAAUACUAUGCGCAUACAAAUAAUUCUUGUGUGUCCAUUUCCCCCCAAGUCUUAUAACAGAGAUGAUUUUCCUGAAGCAGGGGCUGUAAAGAAGCCGAAACAGCAGAAACCCGGUAGUAAGAAUGUUCCAUUCAUCCACAGGCUCAGCCUGUGCAUCCCCACCUAAAAGCAACAUUCAGCCCAUUGUGACCCAAUGCUGCUCUCACAUAAGCUUGAGUGGUGAAAGAAGAGGUGUACGCCUCACAUGCAGACUGCUGCCUGAGAAAAUUAUCUAGUAACUGUUAUUAUAGGGCAUCUUUACGUUAAGGCUGGUCCAGGCUGUAGCGGGAACACUAAGCCAUGGCCUGAAACAGUGAUUGAGCACCUGGUGGAAGGCAGGGCCAACCCAGGGGCGCUCAGGUGCAUGCAGUGCACCUGAUUGACAGGGAGGGGUGAAGCCAGGAUCCACCCCUUCCCAGACCUCAUUUAAGGUUUGGCAGUGGGGGGGGGGGUAAAGGCAUCUCUUUGGAGGUCCCUGCCUUCUGGACGCCUUCUGAAGGUAAGCAGGUGGUUUUUUUUUUUCUUCAUUUCUGUGUCUAUGGCUGUUGCAGCUUAGGAUUGUGGUGCUCUGCUAUUGUUGCUGUACCUUCUAUCACAUUACAGCAUUACAUAGGCCAGUGUAGCUGGUAGCAUGCCCUUGUGAGACACUGCCUGUUGAUCUGACCAUAUAGUAACACCAGUAACUGCCAGAAACUCGUGAUGGGCUUAAGCAAAGUGAAUUCUGCUGAGGAGACAGUGCACCUCUCAACCUAGUGGUUUCCUAUGUCCGGAACAGUCCCCAGGUAUGUUGUAGGGAAAGGCAUUUUAUCUGACCAGCUGUACAGCAUACAGGCACAAGCUGUAGCCAGCAUGUGUGCAAGCUCCUGGCUUGUCACAUGAGUCUGAGCAUUUCAACCCCCAGUGUACAAUGAGAGUUAGCAGGCUUUCAAGGUACCUUGCAUGAGCUCAGAUAUUGAUCAGCUCUGCUGCUAUUUGUAUUACAUGUGCUAUGCCCAGCAAAAAGCAUGCUUUCUGUUCUGAUUUCAUAUCUUUUGUUCACUAACUUCUAAUCAACAGAAGCAAAUAACUUCUCCUGUGUCAUCUCUAUUUUACAGUGCUAAAACCAGCUAUUUAUGUAGCUGCUCUGUGUGUAACUCUACAGACCAGAAUGCUCUUCUCGUGAAGGGCUUAUGGCCCAACUGCAUGUGGGAUUUGAGUGGCUAACUAGAAUCUCUGCAAGUUAUCUGUUGCUUCUUUAUAAGCCCCGCUUCCUUUCUUUACGUCCCCAUUUGGACUGGGGAUAAUGAACUUCCUGUAUCGUGCACUGCCACACAAGGAAACCCAUUGUAUGCGAACCAAGGAAGAGUAUAUCAGUGAGUGGUUUGUAAGGCAGCUCUGGCGGGUCUUGUUAGAAUGACUUAUUCUCAGAGUUCCAGUGGUUUGAUUAAGUGGAUCAUGUGAUAAGCACUUAUAAUGAACUUCUUCACAUGCUGCCAGGGGAAGCCCAGCAGAUAAAGUGCUUAAUCCCACGGCAUUGCUCUGUGCAUAACAAACUGAUUGCGAAGACAGAAGAGUCAUGCAAUUCAUUGGCUUCUCCUACCCAGGAUAGCACAACAGUGUUAUACAAUUUUCUUUCUGCUGCCCAAGUCAAAAUAUUCUUGCUACUAAAUCCAGUUCAAACUAGCACGCUUUUCCUCCCGCUGCUCACCAAGCUCUCAACCAGGCAGGUUACAGCUGAGUGUAACCACCUGCAGCAAGCCUAGGCAUGCUUCUGAGUGCUUUCUUUCUUGUUAAAGAAAACAGUCCCCCAGAAACAACAACAAACAAGAACCGAGCAUAAACUUCUGAGUAACCCCAGCUAGUCUGUUUUAAAAAUAAAAAUCUAGGUCAGCCUGAAUCACCACAGGGGUAAUCUUCAUUUCACUCCCGACAGUAGCAGAGGUCAACAAGGCAGCCUCACAAAGGGGCAUCUCUUGCAGUUUUGGCCCAAACCUGCGGGAUCAAUGACCAGGGAAGCAAACAUCAGAUGUGUUCUCUCUUUCUCCCCCCCAGCUGGUGGCUCACACUUUGCUUUACAAAACAUCCUGGCUGAGCCAUGAGGUGGGAUGUGCUCGUUCCGGCCCUGUCUGCUGGAACAAAUUGUGGUGCUGCUUCUCCAAGGCCAGUGCCAUAUCCCUGACUCCUCUGUAGCAAGGGUAUGACGGGGGGGUACCUUUAGGAAAGUCAUCGUCAGGUCCUGGGACUGAGAUGAGUGCCAGGCCUCAAAGAGAUCUGCUCCCUGACCAGCAAUAUCCGCAUGCUCCCAUUACCAAAGGCAACAACUAUGUGUCCCAGGACCUGCCUGUUGCUCUGGUACACCUGAUGAAAAUGCCUAUGAAAGCUCUGCUACCCAGAAAAGGGCUGGGAGCUCUACUUGCACACUCAGGUGUCAGGAUGGAGGGGGCAACCACUUCAGUAGCGUAUGCUACUGAAGGAGCACAGGGCGAUACGUGGGUGGUGGGCUUUCAGUGAGGUAGCUGCAUUUACUUGGGACCCUUACAUCAGAAAAACAGUGGUGCAGGCAUGGAUAAUGCUUCUCCCUUUAGGUACUUACUGAUACCAGAGGUGAGACUUUACUGAGUGGUAGCUGAUGAGGCAGCACCUGCAAAGCUAGCUUCAGGAACGCCUGUCCUCAGGCUACCUCACUCUUGGUAAUCCCACUAAGUAAUUAGUUCUUUAGGGUCAUGGAGUGAAGCACUUUUAAAGUGAUCAUCUUGGGAGUCCAGGUGUCAGGAGAAACAACAGGCAGAAGCAGCAUGUCAUGUCACCUUACCAGCAGGAUGUGUCUGUGCUGCGCAUCAGCAAAAGGGUUAAUAUUGUUUGAUGCAAGGCUGAAUCAGCCAGGUGGUGGUAACUGUUACCUCACUCAGAGCCUUUACAUUUCCUCUUGCUCUGCAGUCAUACUGAGAAUGAAGGAGGGCUUAGCCUUACAGAAGUACAAUCACUUGUGCAUCAUAACUAGAAAGCCAGUAUAGCCACAAAGCUGCUUCUGCACAGCACUCAGAACAAUCUUGGUUCUGGCUGGCUUCACGCUGCGCUCCCUACUCUGCUUGUUCUCACACGUACCAGCAGCCCCACAUCACCCAUGCGCUGUGCUGAGCACCUCACUGAAUCCCAGUUCGUGUACGCAGGCACGUAGGCAGCCCUGAGAGUGAGAUCCUGUGCUUGCAGCUUGCAGGCCCCAAGAGCAAGUUUAAGAGCAUCCCUGCAAUGUAUCAAUGUAUUGACAAGCUAGGUUGGGUGGCAGACUCAUCACACCCAGUGCAGUGGUUAUAGAGAGACACAGCAAUGGAACAUUUGCCAGGUGAAGAAUGCAAGCAUGAAUAUCAGAUUGACUUCUUACACGAAUCGGAACAUCAGAUGGGUAGGGAUGAUGCCCUGCUUUCUGGCCUGACCUAUUUUGUCACUUAUCUGUAUGAUAAGGAACAGUCAAGGCUUGUGGCAUCUCACAGUAAGCCUAGGAGAUGGUAAAAAGUGUUUGUUCAGGCAGUUGACCUAUAAAUACAACUGUAGUUUAAAAUGCACAUCAAAUUUUGUAUAUCAGCUUUCCUAUACGGUGUUACUAACCAUUACGUUUCCUUAGGUCACAUUAUUCCUCAAUUAAUGAGAUUGCACAGGUGUAAUCAAAGGCAUAAUGUGAUACCAAUCAGAUUUCAUCAGCAAAGUGCUGUUUCCAGCUGUGAUGGCAUGGGAGAAAGAAGGCCUUAUCUUGAUGUAUUUUCCAGCUAAUAGGAGUACACAAACCUAAUAGUGAGAAAAAUGUUUAAAAAUACCCUUUUUGUGCGAUCAGUAAGAACCAAGAGCUGCAACAUUAUGAUGCUGCUAUUAGAUUCAGUCAUCAUCGGAGGGUAACUUAAUUGUAAUUCUGUAAACCAGGUUAAAAUUUGCUCUUCGAGUUGUUUCCACUUGACAGGGAUAUCUCCUGGAAAUGUUGGCUCAUUGUCCUUAAUUGCAUUUGGGUAUUUUGAACUGAACAUCCACCCCCACAGCAUUUAACUCACAAGUUUGAUAUUUCAGAUUACGUAUGGAUGUUGAGCAUGGAAGGCCUUUACUCCACAAUUAAAACGGUUCAGGUAAAAGUCAUUUACCCUUAAACUGUUAAGCAACUAGCGAAUUUUAACAGCCUGUAUUUAUUUAGUCUUAUGUUAAAUCAGUGUCUCCCGAGCUCUGUGUGCCCAGUUUGAGAAACUGAAUCCACCAAAUUCCCCAAGAACUAACAGAGAUUUCUGUAAAAGUGAGGCUCACUGAGGCUACGUAUUCCAAAUAGAGAGCCAGGCUAUGGUAUUUCAUUUCUCACUCCUCUACCACGACAUAACUCUGCUACAAAGGUGCACUGUGAGAUUUCAGCUUUUAAAUUUUUAGCAGCUGAAGAGCAUCGGUGAGCAUUAAGUAAAAUUUCUUUCAGACUUAGCAAUCUUUACCACAUCUUUUCCUUCUACGUGACAAAACAGAUAAAGGAGUUUGUGGUUUAAAACAUGGACACUAAGCUAACCAUGAUCCAGGUGAAACUGUGAAUAUUGUGCAUUAGAUCCUUUGGAGUAUUUCUGUGCUUUUUUGCUGCUCUCCUACUUUCAUGUAUUAAAUAUUGUCUACAGAUUUCCUGUGUAGGCCCAUCCCCGGGGACUGAAAACCUGGUGUAGACAACUCAUAAAUAAAGCGAGUGAGACAUGAGCAAGAAAAAGCAUAGCAUACUUCUGGGAAUCACUCCAGGAAAAUAAAUGUGCAAGAUGGCACAUCACCCUACACAAAGCUGGCAGAGGUAAAAUAACAUUUGGGUUUGAUCAUGACAGAAAAUAAAAUAAUUCUGUGUUCGGAUGUACGUGUUGGUCUUUCGCUGAAAUGAAAGGGCAAAGGUAAGAGUCCAAAGUCCAAAAGUGGAGUUCUGACUUGCAGGAAGACAAACCUGCUGGUGACCGUUGCAGCUCAUUUAAGUGAAGUGGAGGAUGAAGGCUGGAUUUGAUCCCUCGCUUUCAGAAAGUCUGUGAAUUCUCUAGGAAUGAAUGGCCACCAUCACUUAUUUCCCGUCUCUGUUGCUCGCUAUUUCUGCAGCAUAUGCUUGCUUUUAAAGGACCUUCUAAAUUCUAG